GUGGGGAAUAUUGGGCAAUGGACGCAAGUCUGACCCAGCAACGCCGCGUGAAGGAAGAAGGCUUUCGGGUUGUAAACUUCUUUUAAGGGGGAAGAGCAGAAGACGGUACCCCUUGAAUAAGCCACGGCUAACUACGUGCCAGCAGCCGCGGUAAUACGUAGGUGGCAAGCGUUGUCCGGAUUUACUGGGUGUAAAGGGCGUGCAGCCGGGCAGGCAAGUCAGAUGUGAAAUCCCGCGGCUCAACCGCGGAACUGCAUUUGAAACUGUCAGUCUUGAGUACCGGAGAGGUCAUCGGAAUUCCUUGUGUAGCGGUGAAAUGCGUAGAUAUAAGGAAGAACACCAGUGGCGAAGGCGGCUUGCUGGACUGGUACUGACACUGAGGCACGAAAGCGUGGGGAGCAAACAGG
Molecule: ribosomal RNA, 407 nt
Filed under: uncultured bacterium
Lineage: Bacteria
Description: bacterial SSU rRNA
Rfam family: Bacterial small subunit ribosomal RNA
Source: RNAcentral